This 497-nucleotide ribosomal RNA is filed under the name uncultured bacterium. RNAcentral describes it as "partial 16S ribosomal RNA". It matches the Rfam family "Bacterial small subunit ribosomal RNA", at positions 28 to 507 of the family's 1533-position model. The record is from RNAcentral.
GACGAACGCUGGCGGCGUGCCUAAUACAUGCAAGUCGAGCGAUGAAGAUUGGUGCUUGCACCAAUUUGAAGAGCAGCGAACGGGUGAGUAACGCGUGGGGAAUCUGCCUUUGAGCGGGGGACAACAUUUGGAAACGAAUGCUAAUACCGCAUAACAACUUUAAACAUAAGUUUUAAGUUUGAAAGAUGCAAUUGCAUCACUCAAAGAUGAUCCCGCGUUGUAUUAGCUAGUUGGUGAGGUAAAGGCUCACCAAGGCGAUGAUACAUAGCCGACCUGAGAGGGUGAGCGGCCACAUUGGGACUGAGGCACGGCCCAAACUCCUACGGGAGGCAGCAGUAGGGAAUCUUCGGCAAUGGACGAAAGUCUGACCGAGCAACGCCGCGUGAGUGAAGAAGGUUUUCGGAUCGUAAAACUCUGUUGGUAGAGAAGAACGUUGGUGAGAGUGGAAAGCUCAUCAAGUGACGGUAACUACCCAGAAAGGGACGGCUAACUACGUG